RNAcentral lists this ribosomal RNA (450 nucleotides) under uncultured bacterium. Its description in RNAcentral is "partial 16S ribosomal RNA". It matches the Rfam family "Bacterial small subunit ribosomal RNA", at positions 354 to 796 of the family's 1533-position model. The record is from RNAcentral.
GUGGGGAAUAUUGGACAAUGGGCGAAAGCCUGAUCCAGCCAUGCCGCGUGUGUGAAGAAGGUCUUCGGAUUGUAAAGCACUUUAAGUUGGGAGGAAGGGCAGUAAGUUAAUACCUUGCUGUUUUGACGUUACCGACAGAAUAAGCACCGGCUAACUUCGUGCCAGCAGCCGCGGUAAUACGAAGGGUGCAAGCGUUAAUCGGAAUUACUGGGCGUAAAGCGCGCGUAGGUGGUUUUGUAAGUUGGAGGUGAAAUCCCCGGGCUCAACCUGGGAACUGCCUCCAAAACUGCAUGACUAGAGUACGGUAGAGGGUAGUGGAAUUUCCUGUGUAGCGGUGAAAUGCGUAGAUAUAGGAAGGAACACCAGUGGCGAAGGCGGCCAUCUGGACCAGCACUGACACUGAGGCACGAAAGCGUGGGGAGCAAACAGGAUUAGAAACCCCAGUAGUCC